This 312-nucleotide ribosomal RNA is filed under the name uncultured bacterium. Its description in RNAcentral is "bacterial SSU rRNA". It matches the Rfam family "Bacterial small subunit ribosomal RNA", at positions 772 to 1083 of the family's 1533-position model. The record is from RNAcentral.
ACUAAAUAGAUACCCAGGUAGUCCACGCCCUAAACGAUGAUUACUCGACAUUGGCGAUAUUACUGUUCAGUGUCUGAGCGAAAGCGUUAAGUAAUCCACCUGGGGAGUACGCCCGCAAGGGUGAAACUCAAAGGAAUUGACGGGGGUCCGCACAAGCGGAGGAGCAUGUGGUUUAAUUCGAUGAUACGCGAGGAACCUUACCUGGGCUAGAAUGCGCGUGAAUGUUUCAGAAACGAGACAGGCUCAGCAAUGAGACACAAAGCAAGGUGCUGCAUGGCUGUCGUCAGCUCGUGCCGUGAGGUGUUGGGUUAA